UAUAUAAAUUGGUUGGAUGUAUAUUCAAGUUUGUUUGAAAUUUUACUUUGAGGAAUGUGUUUCGUUUUAUCAUAUGUAGCUGUUGAUUUUGGUAUUUCUAUUUUUCUCGCUUUCAUUUAUUUAGGUGCUGGUUUGGUUGCCAAGAUGAGCAGAGGCACCCUCUUCUCUCAUCUGUUUAUCAGAUUGGAACCUAAUAAUGAGUAGCUUGAUACUUGAGAUUGUUAGUUAAUCAAGGCAUGGACCCAACAAUGUUUGAAGCAACGACUAGAGCAAUAUUCUGAAAGUGAUGUUUGAGAGGUAAUUAUUUUUAUCAAAUAAGCAGUUUCUGAAAUGGGCUGCCCAAGAAAUUAAAAACCUUUGAAUGUAAUUUUGAAAGUAGGAGAAACAUUUUAACAUGUGUUCUAUAUCUAUCCUUGGUACAGAUGAUAUAUCCUCGUUUGAGAGGUAGACUACAUGUCAUACAUCCUUUACAUGGCCUCGUUUUGUGAGGGUUGGCAUUUAAGCUCAGCUUUGUGCAAUCAGAUAUGGGAAAUUGUUGAAUUCCAGUUGUCAAGUAUUCGUUUCUGUUUCGGUACGCCUGUGAGUAUUUUUCUGUG
Rosa rugosa (rugosa rose) is the source of this 596-nucleotide long non-coding RNA. RefSeq lists it as uncharacterized. The transcript has 4 exons. Lineage: Eukaryota; Viridiplantae; Streptophyta; Magnoliopsida; Rosales; Rosaceae. The record is from RefSeq and is a predicted model, not a curated record.